This 300-nucleotide ribosomal RNA is filed under the name uncultured bacterium. Its description in RNAcentral is "bacterial SSU rRNA". It matches the Rfam family "Bacterial small subunit ribosomal RNA", at positions 1059 to 1382 of the family's 1533-position model. The record is from RNAcentral.
CUCGUGUCGUGAGAUGUUCGGUUAAGUCCGGCAACGAGCGCAACCCACGUCCUUAGUUGCCAGCAUUCAGUUGGGCACUCUAGGGAAACUGCCGAUGAUAAGUCGGAGGAAGGUGUGGAUGACGUCAAGUCCUCAUGGCCCUUACGGGUUGGGCUACACACGUGCUACAAUGGCAGUGACAAUGGGAUAAUCCCCAAAAGCUGUCUCAGUUCGGAUUGGGGUCUGCAACUCGACCCCAUGAAGUCGGAAUCGCUAGUAAUCGCGUAACAGCAUGACGCGGUGAAUACGUUCCCAGGCCUU